AUGCACCACGCGUACACCCCAGUUCCUGCGCGCCUUCCACGCCCACCUGACGACUGCUCACUAUGUUGUGUUAACC
RNAcentral lists this small RNA (76 nucleotides) under Xanthomonas vasicola. RNAcentral's name for it is "sX9 sRNA". It matches the Rfam family "Xanthomonas sRNA sX9". Lineage: Bacteria; Pseudomonadati; Pseudomonadota; Gammaproteobacteria; Lysobacterales; Lysobacteraceae. The record is from RNAcentral. RNAcentral also lists the same sequence under 16 other names.